AACGAACGCUGGCGGCAGGCCUAACACAUGCAAGUCGAGCGAGGACUUCGGUUCUAGCGGCGGACGGGUGAGUAACGCGUGGGAAUGUGCCCUUCUCUACGGAAUAGCCCUGGGAAACUGGGAGUAAUACCGUAUACGCCCUUUUGGGGAAAGAUUUAUCGGAGAAGGAUCAGCCCGCGUUGGAUUAGGUAGUUGGUGGGGUAAUGGCCUACCAAGCCGACGAUCCAUAGCUGGUUUGAGAGGAUGAUCAGCCACACUGGGACUGAGACACGGCCCAGACUCCUACGGGAGGCAGCAGUGGGGAAUCUUAGACAAUGGGCGCAACCCUGAUCUAGCCAUGCCGCGUGAGUGAUGAAGGCCUUAGGGUUGUAAAGCUCUUUCAGCUGGGAAGAUAAUGACGGUACCAGCAGAAGAAGCCCCGGCUAACUCCGUG
RNAcentral lists this ribosomal RNA (433 nucleotides) under uncultured bacterium. RNAcentral's name for it is "partial 16S ribosomal RNA". It matches the Rfam family "Bacterial small subunit ribosomal RNA", at positions 29 to 507 of the family's 1533-position model. The record is from RNAcentral.